UCCAUUCACUAAUUAAAACACAGUUCAAUACCAACACAUAUUUUCCUUAUUCAAUUUAAUUUUUCCAAAUUCAAUUCAAUAAAGUUACUUACCUUAUUAUAUGCUUACCAUACACAUAAUUUAAAUUUAACAUCAAAUAAUAAAUAAUUUGAAUUAUAGUAAUACAAACCGGAAUUCUCUUCGGAUUUAAUUCUCGACGAUUUUUUCUUUUCCUUUUUGGGCCGAUGCUUCAGGCUCGAUAUUAGCUACGGGCAAUUAAAAUAAUUUCACAAUCAUUAGCACAAAACAAUUUAAUUGCUGAAAUUUUUAUCUAACUUUUACUUUAAUUCUAAUUCAAUCCUAACUAACCUAUAUAUUUUUCUUUCUCAAUCCAUACCUUUUUACUACUUAAUUUCCUACCAAACUCACAUUUAACUAUCUAAUUUUUAUCAUAUUUUCAUAAUUUAGAAUUUAUUUCAAUUUAAUCCCUAAAAUUCAAAACUUAUAGUUUAGUUCACAAUUUAAUCCUUUUAUCAACUCUAACUAGAAACUCUAUCAAAUAAACCAUCAAUUCCAUCAUUUAUUCAACAUAAACCCUACUCAAAAAUCUAUUAACUUUCAAAUUUUCAACUUAAAUCCAAGAGUAUUUCACUCUAGGAUUCUAAAAACAUCAAAUUUAUGAGAAAAUGACUUGAUUUAGCUUACCUAUUAAACUUCAAGUUUCAAAUCCCUAGUUUCCCUUUU
RNAcentral lists this long non-coding RNA (723 nucleotides) under Gossypium barbadense (sea-island cotton). RNAcentral's name for it is "long non-coding RNA (GBAR_LNC015273)". Lineage: Eukaryota; Viridiplantae; Streptophyta; Magnoliopsida; Malvales; Malvaceae. The record is from RNAcentral.